This 497-nucleotide ribosomal RNA is filed under the name uncultured bacterium. RNAcentral's name for it is "partial 16S ribosomal RNA". It matches the Rfam family "Bacterial small subunit ribosomal RNA", at positions 28 to 507 of the family's 1533-position model. The record is from RNAcentral.
GACGAACGCUGGCGGCGUGCCUAAUACAUGCAAGUCGAGCGAUGAAGCUUGGUGCUUGCACCAAUUUGAAGAGCAGCGAACGGGUGAGUAACGCGUGGGUAAUCUGCCUUUGAGCGGGGGACAACAUUUGGAAACGAAUGCUAAUACCGCAUAACAACUUUAAACAUAAGUUUUAAGUUUGAAAGAUGCAAUUGCAUCACCCAAAGAUGAUCCCGCGUUGUAUUAGCCAGUUGGUGAGGUAAAGGCUCACCAAGGCGAUGAUACAUAACCGACCUGAGAAGGUGAUCGGCCACAUUGGGACUGAGACACGGCCCAAACCCCUACGGGAAGCAGCAGGAGGGGAUCUUCGGCAAUGGACGAAAGUCUGACCGGGCAACGCCGCGUGGGGGAAGGAGGGUUUCGGAUCGUAAAACUCUGUUGGUAGAGAAGAAAGUUGGUGAGAGUGGAAAGCUCAUAAAGUGACGGUAACUACCCAGAAAGGGACGGCUAACUACGUG